This is a long non-coding RNA of Schistocerca nitens (vagrant locust), 238 nucleotides long. RefSeq lists it as uncharacterized. NCBI's taxonomy places the organism in Eukaryota, Metazoa, Arthropoda, Insecta, Orthoptera, Acrididae. The record is from RefSeq and is a predicted model, not a curated record. The transcript has 3 exons.
UGAUAAUUAAAAGGAACUUGUUUUUUCGAACGUGAAAACCCAGUAGGCGUACUCAAUAAAACAGUUACCAAAAACCAGCAAUUUCUGAAGGGCGGAACACUGUGCUGCCUCACACUGGUUAGAUCCGCGGAGGAGAGCGACAGAGCCAGGGAGGAAUGGACGGCGGUGGCGACGUCGGCGUUGGCCGGAGCCGAGGGGAAGCGGCGGGUGGCGGCUGCUCGCCUCCGCCUUCGCCUUC